Molecule: non-coding RNA, 1386 nt
Organism: Elaeis guineensis (African oil palm)
Lineage: Eukaryota; Viridiplantae; Streptophyta; Magnoliopsida; Arecales; Arecaceae
Source: RefSeq, a predicted model, not a curated record
GGCACCAGGAGACAAACGACGACGUUCGCAUUCAUAGCUCCCUGCAGAUGCCUCAGAGGUUGAGGCACCUCCAUCGAUCUUUGUUGCCGCACCGGCUUCACUGUCAGAGGGUCUUGCACCGACAGGUCUUAGUAAGGUGGGUCCCAAUGAGGUGAGUCCUCAUUGAUGGUGAGGCGAGGGCGAGGUCCAUCGAAGAACCUCGUUGUGAAGCGUUGGAGAUGCGAGCACCCGGGACAGCAUCUCCGGAUCGAGAUACCGACUGGCUACACCAGACCCAUUAGAAGAUGGUGUGACACAUGACAGACUGAGCUAGGCAUCAUAUGCCACAGUUAUGCCCCUGUGACACUCUUCGAUUGGCAUCACGUUCUACCGGCUCAGAGAGAUAUUUUCUACACCCAUUUAUAGCUAAAAUAAAUUAUAUUAUGAAUAUUUAAUUUGCAUAGUAUUCUUCUAAUAUUUAUUAUUGGCAGGGUGUAUUUGAUAUCACUGAUUUUGAGGAGGAUCAUGUGAGGCGAGCCAUCGACAUUCAGUUAUCAUUGCGUUUCAAGAACUAUCACCAUCACAUGCAUCAGAUUGGUAUCGGGUGGUGCAGGAUUAUGGGGAGGAGGCAGCACCGUAGCAGCUCUGUGACAGCAUCACCAUAGAUAAUUGGACUACUAUAUGCCGACAGUAUGAGGAUCUGGCAUAUCAGAGAUGAUGUGCCCAAAAUGUGACGAACCAGACGAGACAGACCGUGCCACAUUGUGGGGCUUCGAGAUCGUUUGCUCGUCACAUGGAGCACAUAAGAGAUGCUGAGAGUGGCGAGCUUCCUAGUAGGAUCGAUAUCUACCAGCGGACCCACCAGUGACGGUCGGAAGAGUGGAUGAUGGGGAGCCAGGAGCUCUUUGAUGUUAAUGAAAUGGACACCGCUAAAGAAGAUGUUUUAAAGACAAGCUGCGUAAAUGUAGGAGAGCAAGAGGAAUGUAGGAUGUCUAAUUUUUCUAAUAUUGGUUCCAACAUCACAUCUUCCAUGAACAUUCGGGAGGGCCUGUUUUAGGUAUGACCUUUGAAAAGAGAAACGAGACAACUAGAACAAACAGAGAGACGAUCCCAGCAGGAACGGGAUUCUAUAAAAUAGAAGCAAGACAUAUUCAGAUAACUUAAUAUUUUUUUAUUGAAAUUAAUUUAAUACUUUGAUCUUGUCUUGCGGAAGCUUGACUCAACUAUUCUGAUUGGCUGCACUUUAUUCGUUACUGACUGGAGUUGUAUCUUUUAAGUGAAAGAAGUAUUCAUUCACCUUCAAGCAAAUCCACCGUUGCAUCAUCCACCGCACAAUUUCAAAGUGCUUUAAAUUUUGUCAUUCAUCUAUUUGCACAUACCUCAAAGCAACUAGUGGAUGACACAAUC